AGUAGCCUCAAAUCAAGGGGGGAGGCUGGCCUGUAAUUGUUACACUCUGUGAUGAUUAUGAAGUCAGCUCAUUGCACCUGCAGACUGCCCAAACUAAAGGUGGGCCACUGCCCCCACAGUUUCUCUCUGCUUCUGGUCAGCUGGGUUGUCCUGCAUGGUGACGGGUGUCAUCCCGAACAAACCAGAUGGCAUCAGAGGCACUCCAUCAAGUGGGAGAUGGGGAGGAGGCUGUACUGAAGAAAGAAAACUUCAACAUGAUGAAUGCCCUUGACCAACUGCCAAAACCCUUUCCAAACCCCAAGUCUAUGAACCGGACCGUCACUACCAAAGGACUCCCACUAGUCUCAAAGGGCAAUUUGGUCAACUUCUUGGAGGAUGAUACCAUCAACCUACUGAAGCCGCUGCCAGUAGAGGAUUCAGACUGCAGCUCUGAUGAGACCAGCAUCUCUGCCUUCUCAUCCACCUUGCUGAACCCCAUCAAAUUAGCUGUGACCCAGCCCAACAGCAGCUUCUUUGCAGGGAUGCUGGAGGGGGAGCUGAACAAACUCAGCUUCUCCCCAAUGGCCAAGAAUGCAGAAAACGAGGACCUGGCGCUCGGCCCCUGCCCAUGCCCAUCGAAGUCCCAGAUGGCCACAAGGGGCCUGCUGGACCUCGACAACCCUGAGCUGGAGACAGAAACCUCCUCAACGCACUCAGAAUCUUCUGUGGUUGUGGACCUGCCGGACACCCCCUUCAUCUUUGAGCACACCGUCAACAAUUCCACAGCUGUGAUUUCCUGGACCUACGCCUUGGGCAAGCAGCCGGUCAGUUUCUACCAGCUCCUGUUACAGGAGGUGGCCAAGACACAGGAGAAUGAGUUGCCCGAGGCAAAGAAUCGUCCAUGGAUCUUCAACAAGAUUUUGGGCACUACUGUCAAGCUGAUGGAGCUAAAGCCUAACACGUGUUACUGCCUCAGUGUCCGUGCAGCCAACACAGCUGGGGUGGGGAAGUGGUGCAAGCCCUACAAAUUUGCAACCCUGGCCACUGACUUCAGCAGCUUUCCUGAGAACUACCCCAUCCAGAUCACCGUGCGGCGCAAGGAACCCCGGCAAAAGAUCGUGUCCAUCGGGCCGGAGGAGAUGCGGAGGCUGGAGGAUCUGGAAUACCUAUUUCCCUGUUAAGGGGGAGGGCCCCAGGACACCCCUCACCUACUUUCAGCUUCAACCCUGGGCCCUCAGGAACCAGAGCCAUGAGACCUACCAUACCACCAGCACCCUGCGGGCCCGGGGCCUGGCAGAGUGUUUUGGAGCUUGAGAACCUUCCAGGCCUGGUGCAGUCUGAGAGCACAGCAGACAGACAGCUGGCACCAAGGAGCUCAGUGGCUGAUAGUUUUGUUCGCUUCUUAUGUAGCCUCACUGCAGAGAUGUGCAAGGUGGAGGCCAAGCACCACAGCUAGGUGACGCGCAAAACCCAAAAGCACAGACAAGGGUGGAGGAGGGUAAGAAGGAGCAAGAUGCUAGUUCUGAGCAGUUUAUACAAGGAUGGUUUGGAAAUCCAAUCUGAGUAGUUCAGACCAUGACCCUGCUUAGCAUGGGAUGCAGGAGAAAGCAGAGGCAGGGUACAUUCAGGGCAAGAUCUCGGCCUGGGGUCUGAGUCCUGAUGGGAAUUCCUUUCACUGCUUGAAAGUUCUCGUGGCAAAGAACUUCCUCUGUAUCAACCAUACCCACUUCUGCUCAGAGCUCAUACUGCUGCCUCCCCAUCUGAGGGAAUCCUCUGGAAGAGCCAUCACCUUCCCCGCUCUAUCCCAAGGGCCCAGGGGAGUGCUUGGUGCCUGGCAGGGCCUCAAGCAGUGUGCUAUGCGAAGGCAGAGGCGUCCCCUGGAGCAGGGCUGACCAGCAGAACUCUCUUGAUGAUGAAAACCUUUCUGUGUGCUGUCCAAUACUGGAGGCCUUACCCAGUGCGAUGGAGGAACUGCACUUCUAUUUCAUGCCAGCAGCCACAUGUGGCCGGUGCCUACUGCAGUGGACAACAAUACAGCCCUAGAUUCUCCUUGGCCACUAUCACAACUGGCCUCUCUCUUACCGACACAGGGGAAGAGAGGGAAGAACCAGGAUUUGAACUCAGGUCUUGCGACUCUGAAGUCUAGUGACAGAAAGACCUGGACGCGCCCUCUACGAGGUGUCCUGUGGCCUCUGUUGUUCCGGUGGCCCUCCCACUUGUGGCCCUCCCACUUGCCCACUGAGAAUCUGGCUCCACACGCCUCCUCAAGACAGUCUGAGCACCUGGACGGCCCUGCGGAAUUCUAUGCUGUAAGGGAAAGUGUGCACAGAAGGACCUUAGGGGUAGGAGGGCUGUGCAUGCCAACCACCACUUCCCCCACACUCACAUCCGGAGGCAUUUGUCCUUCCCACCACUUGCCACUCUCUGGCCAUCUGGACUCCAGUCAACAGCAUAUACCUAAAGGGAGGCAGAGGAAGGCAGGUGGGGUGGUGAGAGGGAGACAGCCAGCCAGGCUCCAAUCCCAGUCCCUCCUUUGCCUGAGGGUUGGCCCUACCUCAUCCGCGUGGCCGGGCAGGUCCAUGGCCAGCUUCUGGGCCUUCACAUCCCACACCUUCAGUGUGCUGUCACUGCUGCCACUGACCAGGAGCCGACUGUCAGCUGACCACGCAAUCUGGUACACGGCAGCCACGUGGCCGCGUAGGGAAGCCAGGUACCUGGUCCAGGAGAAGACGAUGAUGGAUUUUAGUCUGAGUUACAUCUUUCAACACGUCUGAAGGGUCCCCUACGCUCAUGGCAGUGGUUCUCAACCUCGGCUGUCUGUUAGAAAUACCUGGGAACCUUUACAAAAUCACACUGCCUGGUCCCCAUCCCAGACCAUUUUAAUCAUUACCAGUCAUUACAAUUUGUAAAACUUCUCCAAAUGAGUAGCUUCUAACAUGCCUCUUGCUUGCCCUCC
RNA transcript from Pan troglodytes (chimpanzee), 2935 nucleotides. It is a transcript of the gene named fibronectin type III domain containing 8, with no coding region annotated. The record is from RefSeq and is a predicted model, not a curated record. The transcript is spliced from 6 exons. Lineage: Eukaryota; Metazoa; Chordata; Mammalia; Primates; Hominidae.